Vibrio sp. is the source of this 387-nucleotide non-coding RNA. NCBI's taxonomy places the organism in Bacteria, Pseudomonadati, Pseudomonadota, Gammaproteobacteria, Vibrionales, Vibrionaceae. The record is from Rfam.
GGGGCCGAUUAGGAUUCGACGCCGGUAGCGAAACUCGAGGGGCAUGCCGAGUGGGUAACAGAACUCGUAAAUCCACUGUUGCAAACUUUAUAAUUGCCAAUGAUGACAAUUACGGUGCCCAACUAGCUGCGUAAGCAGCCUAGUCGCACUUCUGGUAGCUUCGGCUCCAGCAAUCAUUAGGGGAUGUCUGUAAACCCGAAAUGAUUGUCAUAUAGAACAGAAUCGCCGCGUAGUACGUUGUGGACGAAGUGGCUAAAACUUACACAACUCGCCCAAAGCACCCUGCCCGUCGGGCGGCCAAGGGUUAACUUAAUAGACACGGCUAAGCAUGUAGAACCGACAGCGGAGAACUGGCGGACGGGGGUUCAAAUCCCCCCGGCUCCACCA